ACGCCCUCGGACAUUGUCGUGCACUGUUGUCUCCCAGGCAUCGACGGCCCAAAAAGCAGCGUUGCACGCUCCCGAAGCGACCCCAGGUCAGGCGGGACUACCCGCCGAGUUUAAGCAUAUCAAUAAGCGGAGGAAAAGAAACUUACCAGGAUUCCCCUAGUAACGGCGAGCGAACCGGGAAAAGCCCAGA
This 190-nucleotide ribosomal RNA is filed under the name Tovomita leucantha. Its description in RNAcentral is "partial 26S ribosomal RNA". The stretch from base 78 to 190 matches the Rfam family "Eukaryotic large subunit ribosomal RNA", at positions 1 to 113 of the family's 3401-position model. Lineage: Eukaryota; Viridiplantae; Streptophyta; Magnoliopsida; Malpighiales; Clusiaceae. The record is from RNAcentral.